RNAcentral lists this transfer RNA (85 nucleotides) under Felis catus (domestic cat). It matches the Rfam family "tRNA". From Rfam's summary of the family: Transfer RNA (tRNA) molecules are approximately 80 nucleotides in length. Their secondary structure includes four short double-helical elements and three loops (D, anti-codon, and T loops). The record is from Rfam by way of RNAcentral. Lineage: Eukaryota; Metazoa; Chordata; Mammalia; Carnivora; Felidae.
GCCUGGGUGGCUCAGUCAGUUGAGCAUCUGACUUCGGCUCAGGUCAUGAUCUCGCGGCUCGUGGGUUCGAGUCCCGCUUCGGGCU